Molecule: ribosomal RNA, 352 nt
Filed under: Serratia sp. EJP 91
Lineage: Bacteria; Pseudomonadati; Pseudomonadota; Gammaproteobacteria; Enterobacterales; Yersiniaceae
Description: partial 16S ribosomal RNA
Source: RNAcentral
GGGAACGUAUUCACCGUAGCAUUCUGAUCUACGAUUACUAGCGAUUCCGACUUCACGGAGUCGAGUUGCAGACUCCGAUCCGGACUACGACGUACUUUAUGAGGUCCGCUGGCUCUCGCGAGUUCGCUUCUCUUUGUAUACGCCAUUGUAGCACGUGUGUAGCCCUACUCGUAAGGGCCAUGAUGACUUGACGUCAUCCCCACCUUCCUCCGGUUUAUCACCGGCAGUCUCCUUUGAGUUCCCACCAUUACGUGCUGGCAACAAAGGAUAAGGGUUGCGCUCGUUGCGGGACUUAACCCAACAUUUCACAACACGAGCUGACGACAGCCAUGCAGCACCUGUCUCACAGUUC